UGUGGUAAUUCUAGAGCUAAUACAUGCACCAAAGCUCCGAUUUUUUGACGAGCGCAUCUAUUAGAUUAAAACCAAUCGGGUUUCGGCCCGUCAAUUGGUGACUCUGAAUAACUAUGGCUGAUCGCAUGGUCUUGAACCGGCGACGUGUCUAUCAAGUGUCUGCCUUAUCAACUGUCGAUGGUAGUUUAUGUGCCUACCAUGGUUGUAACGGGUAACGGAGAAUAAGGGUUCGACUCCGGAGAGGGAGCCUGAGAAACGGCUACCACAUCCAAGGAAGGCAGCAGGCGCGCAAAUUACCCACUCUCGGCAUGAGGAGGUAGUGACGAAAAAUAACGAGACCGUUCUCUCUGAGGCCGGUUAUCGGAAUGGGUACAAUUUAAACCCGUUAACGAGGAUCUAUGAGAGGGCAAGUCUGGUGCCAGCAGCCGCGGUAAUUCCAGCUCUCAAAGUGUAUAUCGUCAUUGCUGCGGUUAAAAAGCUCGUAGUUGGAUCUGCGCCUCAGGACUUGGUCCGCCCACUGGGCGAGAACUGGGCUCCUGGGCUAGUACUGCUGGUUUUCCCUACGUUGCCUUCAUCGGUCGCGUAGGGUGGCUAGCGAGUUUACUUUGAAAAAAUUAGAGUGCUUCACGCGGGCUUAUGUCUGAAUACUCGUGCAUGGAAUAAUAGAAUAGGAUCUCGGUUCUAUUUUGUUGGUUUUCUGAUCUGAGAUAAUGGUUAAGAGGGACGGACGGGGGCAUUCGUAUCGCUGCGUGAGAGGUGAAAUUCUUGGACCGUAGCGAGACGUCCGACUGCGAAAGCAUUUGCCAAGAAUGUCUUCAUUAAUCAAGAACGAAAGUCAGAGGUUCGAAGGCGAUCAGAA
RNAcentral lists this ribosomal RNA (859 nucleotides) under Anisakis simplex sensu lato. Its description in RNAcentral is "SSU rRNA". It matches the Rfam family "Eukaryotic small subunit ribosomal RNA", at positions 148 to 1013 of the family's 1831-position model. The record is from RNAcentral. Lineage: Eukaryota; Metazoa; Nematoda; Chromadorea; Rhabditida; Anisakidae.